AUUGAACGCUGGCGGAAUGCUUUACACAUGCAAGUCGAACGGCAGCACGGACUUCGGUCUGGUGGCGAGUGGGGAACGGGUGAGUAAUACAUCGGAACGUGCCCAGUCGUGGGGGAUAACGUAGCGAAAGCUACGCUAAUACCGCAUACGAUCUAAGGAUGAAAGCGGGGGAUCGCAAGACCUCGCGCGAUUGGAGCGGCCGAUGGCAGAUUAGGUAGUUGGUAGGGUAAAGGCCUACCAAGCCGACGAUCUGUAGCUGGUCUGAGAGGAUGAUCAGCCACACUGGGACUGAGACACGGCCCAGACUCCUACGGGAGGCAGCAGUGGGGAAUUUUGGACAAUGGGCGCAAGCCUGAUCCAGCCAUUCCGCGUGCAGGAUGAAGGCCUUCGGGUUGUAAACUGCUUUUGUACAGAACGAAAAGGCUCUGGUUAAUACCCGGGGCUCAUGACGGUACUGUAAGAAUAAGCACCGGCUAACUACGCGCCAGCCGCCGCCGUAA
RNAcentral lists this ribosomal RNA (500 nucleotides) under uncultured bacterium. RNAcentral's name for it is "partial 16S ribosomal RNA". It matches the Rfam family "Bacterial small subunit ribosomal RNA", at positions 30 to 523 of the family's 1533-position model. The record is from RNAcentral.